AGCUAUAGCGAGAUUCACGAUGGA
This 24-nucleotide non-coding RNA is filed under the name Arabidopsis thaliana (thale cress). Lineage: Eukaryota; Viridiplantae; Streptophyta; Magnoliopsida; Brassicales; Brassicaceae. The record is from RNAcentral.